RNAcentral lists this long non-coding RNA (772 nucleotides) under Monodelphis domestica (gray short-tailed opossum). RNAcentral's name for it is "lncRNA (ENSMODG00000039950.1)". Lineage: Eukaryota; Metazoa; Chordata; Mammalia; Didelphimorphia; Didelphidae. The record is from RNAcentral.
CUUAAGUGGAAUGUAUACAUUCCUGAUGGCUAAAAUUCUAAAGAAAAAGUAGGGUGGAGUAAAUCUAAAUUUCAGUUUUUCUGAUUUCAAUCAACUCUCAUCUAAAAUCCCACUUUCUUCAAGUUUUUUUUUCCUUUUCUCCUUCAUGCUAGUGUCUUCCCUCUAACAUUAUCUUGUUUAUCCUAUAUAUAUCUUAUUUGUGCACUGUUAUGUUGUAUUCUUCCAUUAGGUUGCAAGCUUCAUGGGAUAUUAAAAGAGGACUAGCACCUCUGGUGUGAGAGCUUACCAAGCCCUUUCCAGGGAUGCUUAUCCACCUUUGAUGUUCAUCUUUCACUGAACUCUUCACCUGAUGUUCCAAGAAGCUAUAGAAUAAGCAGUGGAUAUACCCUGGAAAAACCAUUUCAGCAAAUGGAGUAAAACAGGUUGAGGGUAACCUACAGGUCUCAAACCUGUUGAGUCCAGGAUGAUCUUGGCAUCUUCAAUGUGUCACCAAACUCUAAGCGCUUCAUAGUGCCUUCCAUCAUGGCCGCUGGAAGGAAUUGUUUAUAUCUGCUCAUUCUGCCAGGGAAGUCUUCAGAUGGUUGUGGAAGACAUACCCCUAACUCACUGAUAGUAUGAUGCCUCCAGGUUUCCCUCAACCUGGGUUAGCUUGACUGCUGAGAAAGUUAUGACAAGGUGUGGCCACUGUACAUGCUACAGCUUCUUGGAGCCACAGAUGUCAAUGAGAUCUGAAAUGGAUUAUUUCAAACCGAGGACAACCCUGAAAAUAUGA